GUGUAUGGCUUUUUGAGGCCACCUGUAUUUACAAUGCAUAAUGGUAUGUCUUUAGGAACAGCUUCUCUUUGGGCUUAAAAAAUGUGAAGCGGAUGUGAAUGGUUCUAUCCCAGAUAAACCUCAUAUGAGACCCACUCUAUUACACACAGAUCCUCAGGGCUCCAUACAAUUUAAUUAUAAAGCACCGAAAUAUAAACUGACAAAAGUGACUAAUGAAAGAAAGAAAUAAUGAAUUGAAGUUUAUUUUAUGAAAAUGGAAUGUUUUCUCCCCCUCAGGGUGAACCUUACAAUGAGGCAGCCCAGCACUUGCACAGCAAUAGAAUAAUGGAAAACAGGAACAGCAUGCUGACGCUCCAAAUCAUAAGUUACCCUGGAAGCAAAAUGGCUUGGUAGGAAUUUUCACUCAGGCCAGACAUCUUACUUUAUGGUCUGCAGCCAUACCGUUUUGGGCCAAGAUCUUAUCCGGUGUCACAAACUAAACUGUAUCCAGAAUGGUCAAUACGUAAACCCUUCCAGUGCAAGACAAGAAGUAUUGUUAAUGAAUAGCUUCACUGGAAAACAACCUCCUGAGAAUCCUUGGUUGACAAGAUUUUAUUUUACCUUUAUACCCCAAAAAGAAGAAACUCACUUUUGAUUUCUAGAAGGUAGCACCAACUACAGCAAGUCAUUUUCAUCUGUUCAAAAAACAUAAUAAUAUAACAAUUAUACCUUUCAUUUCAGUGGCACUUUUCCUCUGAGAAUUUCAAAGCUCCUGAGAAAAAUUAAACCAAGAUUUCAAAAGAUAGGCACUUAAGUUUAAGUUUCCAGGAUCUGAUUUAGAUUCCUGAAGAAAUCGGCUGAUUGUCAAAAGCACAGAAUACACAGCUUUACCCAUUUGGCGUUACUGGGAAGUGGUGAGGGCUCAACACUUUUGAAUCUUAAACUGCAAUUUUUUGGGAGCCAAAUGUAUACUUUUAAGAUGAACUGCAAGCUUCUUUAAAAAAAUAGAAAUACUUUUUCAACAUAAGGACAUCAUGCAUUCUGAAAUCUUUAUAAAAAACAUAGAGUUAUUUGGGGGGAAAGUACCAAUUAUUUAAUUUCUUGAUAAAUAAAACACUCUUAGUUUCCCCUCAUAUUCUAAACAUAUUGCAUACAUUGCUUAAAUAUUAAGCUGUUAUCCUUUCUAUCUAUAGCAAGAACAAAGAUAAUUUUCAUAGGUCCUUUAUGGAAUAUAGAAGGCAACCUUAUUAUGGAUGAUUCAGAGAAGGCUGAAGUAUUUAAUGCCUUUUGUACUUCAAUCUUCACAAAUGCAGGCAGCUACCAGAUAAGUGCAGUUGGCAACAAAGAUAGGGAAGGAGAUAAAUAGCCCAGAGUAAUAACAGAACAGGUUAGGGCUUCCUUAGAGAAGUUAGAGGGUUUCAAGUUGGCAGGGCCAGAGAGGAUGCAUCCUAAGGUACAGAAGGAAUUGGGUGAGGUAAUUUUGGGGCUAUUGGCUAUCCUCUUUGGAAACUUGUGGAGGUCAGGUGAGGUCUGGGAUGACUGAAAAGGGCAAAUAUAGCACCCAUCUUUAAGAAUGGGAAGAAGGAGGUUGCAGGGAAAUACAAACCAGCCAAGCUGACCUUGAAACCUGGAAAGUUCAUGGAAUAGGUCAUCAAGGAAUCUAUGUGUUUUCUUUAGGAAGCACCUGGUGAAGAACAAGGUGAUCAGGAAUGGAUGAAUUCAACAAGAGCAAGUUAUGCCUGACAGGCAUGGGGAUAGAAUAAUGGAUGUGUUAUUCCUUGGCUUUAGCAAGGCUUUUGACACUUUCUCCCAGGACAUUCUCAUUAACAAGCUAAGGAAAUACAGAAUAGAUUAAAGUACAUGUAACCAGUUGGAUCAUCAUACUUAGUGAGUAAUUAUCAUUUAUCAGUGGCUCAGCAGCUCAAUGAUUGGACAAUAGGGUUGAGCACCUACUUUGCAAAUUUGUGGAUGACACCAAGUUGGGUGGAAUAUCAGUUUUUCUGGAGGCUGUGGCUAGUACCUAGAAUGACUUGGAUAGAUUGGAGAAAUGGUCCACAAUCAAUCAAAUAAGAUUCAACAAGGACACAUCAAAAGUCCUGCAUUUGGGAUGGAAUAAUUGCAUGCACAAAUACAGACUGAGGAAUUUCUGGCUAGGCUGCCAUACUGCAGAGAAGGACCUGGGAGUUCAGUAGACCAUAGGUUGAGUAUGAGCUAAAAGUGUGCUCUUGUUGUUAUUGGGCUAUAUUAACAGGAGUUAAUGACCUUGGGAGACAGGACUAGGAGCUCAAGCUCCAAUAGGGGAAAUUUAGGUUGGAAAUUAGGGGGAACUUGCUGACUGUGAGGAGAGUCAAACAUUGCAACAGACUCCAUAGAGAAACAUCCUUGGAGGUGUUCAAGAACAGAUUAGACAGACACUUGACUCAGGUGGUUUAGUCAGGAAUGCUCCUACCUUGAGCACGGGGUUGGACUAAAGGACCCUUCCAGCUCCACUUUCCUAUGAUUCCUAUGUUAAUAGAGAGACUGUCAUUGCCAUGGAACUAUGUAUGUUUUGUCACUAGCAUAUGGAGAAUGUAACAUACAGUUUUUAAAUGUGAAAAUGUAUGCAUGUAUACAUAAGUAAGCAUGAAAAUUAUGAGGAAAAAUUUGGCACCGCACCCUAAAUUCUAGCACCACCCAUAGGUCCCAAGCUUCUUUUUUUUCCCCUGAAGACAGUGAAUGAGGUAACAGACUUUUAAAAAAGACCACACCCUCUAAAAACUGUGACAUAGUCUUUCUUUAAUAUUUUAUUAAUACCAUACUAGACCUGCAUCAACAGAAGUGUCUGCUUAAAAACAAAUAACACAGUGUGGCCCAUAGGUAGACCAAGAGACAUUUGAGUCCCGAUUAAAAUAGUUUAGGCUGUUCUCUGUUACCUGACUAUGUACUGGUUCUUUUCCUAUCCCCCUCUUUCUAUGUCUUUCUUGUUAUGCUCAUUGGUAAUUCAGUAGUUUUCCCAUUUUGGUACAUAUACAAACAGAAAGUUUUGUAGCAUUUAAUUAGGGCCGGUAAGAUUUUAUCCUUGUUUCUUAUUGUUCUUCCGGUUUUAGCCCUGGAGUUCUGUGACAACAUUUUUCUUUCUUUUAUUGCUGGUUUUUUUUCCCAGUUGCCUCCUUGUGACUGCAUUGCAGAAGUUGGGGCAGUAUUCUGCAGCAACAGAAUCACUUAAUAGUACUUGAUUUCAUACCAUCUGGCUAUUUCCAGGCAUGUCACUGGACUUCAUUUCCAAUAUAAUCAUGUUCUAGUUUUCUUGAAGUACAAGUACAAACUGAACUUUCCAGAAGCUAAUAGCAGUACUGACAGUAUAACAUGCAACCAAUAAAGUUUUAUGGCACAAUCUCAUGAAAACAAAAACAAAAAAUGAAGGAAUUAGUACCUUUGGGUCUCAAGUAAGGAUUUCCAUAAUUCUGAAUGUCUGAAAUUGGGCAACUAUAUCAUUUAAGUACCUAAAGAAAGAGCCUUCAUGUUCAAAAGGCGGCUUCAAUAGAAAUGCUGGGUGCUUGGCUAUCCUGAAAAUUUGGAAUUUUUUUAAUAGGUGCCUAAAUAUAGAUGCAGGAUGGAUGCCAAUUUCCUACUGGCAUUUGAAAAUGUAGUCUUGAGUCUGUGCUUCCUGUGCAUAAGGGAAACAGCAGAAUAACAUUGUCUCUGAAUUGGAUCUAUAUUCUAUUAAACUGGCAUUAUAAACCUCUGUAAUGUGUAGUUGUUAGAGUGAAUAUUUAUGCACUUUGGCUGUCAUGACAGUCUGUAGGAUAUAGAGGCUACCUGAAAAUGUUCAUUUCCUUCUAAUUGUUCUGAAUACCUGAAGUAAGGAAAUGGCUGUUCUGAACCUCUAAGGAAGGAGCCCUCUGCCAUCAACCAAUGAUGAACCAGAAGAACAAAUGAAGUGGGCCAUAUUUGCAUGUAUUUUACCACCUUUCCUGUCUGAGUAUUUUGGCUGUUUUGCUUAUGAUUCAUUUAUGUUUAUGAUGUAUAUGUAUCAAAACACUGUUAUCCUCAUCGUGUGACGGAUGUGCCAAAGAAUUAUAUGCCCUGAGUUGCUUUAAUGUAACUUCAGUUUUUCACAGCUGGACAGAGGGGAAGAAGGAUUUUAUUUUUUGUGAUAAGAAGUAAUUUGGAUUUCGUGCUACUGAAGAUAUAAUUGCUAUAGGUGUAUUUGGAGCCUAAGGAUCUAUACUUGGCAUCAUAGCUGGAGGUAAUAUAGCAGCCAGGGAUAAGGGUAAAAUAGUACUGCAGUGAGCAGGUAAAGAUGGUGGGGGUGCAGUUGUGCAGUUACUGCUCCCCUCCUCACCCCCCAUCUCCCCCGUUCCUUCUCCACCUAAACUUUAAAACCAACUUCUUAGGAGAGGCAGUGGCCUUUCUAUUCAGGCAGUGCUGAAAGCAUCAGUUGACUUCAUGGCUCAUUAUAAUCUACCUGAUUCCUUCUAAUCUCUCUUCACUUCACAGGAGCUAGCAACCUUGUAUCCUUUUUAAUGGUCUUGAUGCCUCAAUAUUUAAAUUAUCCUUUCUUCUGCAGUAUUGCUGUCUUUUAACCAUUCCUGGUAAAGUUUCUCUUCUGUUUCAUAUCCUGCAGGUUGUUUUAAGUUCUAGGUGAAAAUCUUAACUCAAAUGUAAAAACAACUGACACUGAAGUAUUGGAGGCACUGUCAAAAAUCUCAAGAAGAAUAGAUUUUGUUUUAUGAAUCUGAAUAAGAGAUCUACAUUUAACUAUAAUGAUUACAGGACUAGUGAAACCAUAUCUUUUGACUAUUUGUGCCUAGUUUGUGUUUUUUUUUAAUUUAAUAUAUUAUCUAAGAGAUUAAUAAACAUUCCAAUAAAGUUAUAUUUGUUUUUGCUUUGAUCUUAAAUUGUAGUGUGAGGCCUCUAGCAUAUUAGUUAA
This is a long non-coding RNA of Alligator mississippiensis (American alligator), 4891 nucleotides long. RefSeq lists it as uncharacterized. The record is from RefSeq and is a predicted model, not a curated record. The transcript has 3 exons. NCBI's taxonomy places the organism in Eukaryota, Metazoa, Chordata, Crocodylia, Alligatoridae.